GCCGCGCUCCGCACUCUCCGAGCCUGCGACCAGUUCAAGGAAAGUGACUCAGAGGCGACAGCAGUGCACAAGUAACACACAUAUGAUCCUCUCCUUGAAGUGUGACAAAGGACAUUUUCAAGUUCUAAUAUUUGUGAACCCUGCUCCUGGGCUCCCAGGGAAGAUACACUUUUAUCAAGAUGACACUUCAAAGCACAAAAGUCCUUUCUGUCCUGAGCACAUGUUGUACAUCUGUUUCAUUAGCACAUAACCUAAAAGAAAUAUUUCAGACUCAAGAUAGGAGUAAAAAUCCCCUGGAGUUCUCUUCCCAUACUCCCAAACCUGCAAACUUGCACAUACUAAAAACACAAGAUAAAGUCUGUAAUUUUCUGAAAUGUCCUUCCUGUGAUGACUUGUAACUCUUGAUGUAAUAAAAGCAUAUAUGAUCCUGUAUUAAACAGUCCUUCUCCAGAGCACUCCCUUCUUUAUGAAGAUUGUAUAUCCUGGGCUGCUGUGCUCACUUGGGCUUGAAUAAAACUCUUGUCUUUUUUUGUAGAAAUUGUAAAAGAUUUGUUCAUUUUGCAUUGAAAAUUAUUGGCUCAGUUGUCAGGCUAUCAGAGCAACUUGCCUGAAAAUGCUCAGAGCUCACCUAGAACUUGGUACCAGCAUGGACUCCUCAUGACCCUCUGAUUUCUCAGCAUUUCACAGAUGUAUCAGGUGAGUUCUCCUGAUAACUGGACCUCCUCAAUUUGAGUUGAUGGUCGUGACUUUUUGUGAGCUGUUAAAGGUUACUGGUAAUGUUCUCCAGGUGGGAAUAACCUAGAGCAGGGGAGUGAAUGGGUUGGUUAUUUUAAUUGGGCAUUAUUCUAAUUGAUGUUAUUGAUAUAAGGCUUGAAUAAAUUUUCUGGUUAGAAACUGGAACAACUGAGUCACUCAACUCCAAAGAGAAGGAGCUCUUGCUCCUUCUGUCCAUAUGGUGCUUUGCAGUGACUUAAAGUCUAGCAGAAGUGUCAAAGGAUAUACCAGUCCCAUAGGAACUUCCCAUCUCAUAAGGUAAUUAAUGAUUAACUCCUCAGGGAACACACACAUAGGGGUUGAUCAUCCAGUGCUCUGAGUGCCCCCAAUGGUCAUAGACCCCACUUAAGAGAGCAUACCUAGUAAUUAGAAGUGACAAUCACAAGCAGCAUUCUCUUGACCCACCACACCUAAUAACCUUAGAUCUUGUUCAAGCCUUAUUC
Molecule: long non-coding RNA, 1217 nt
Organism: Mustela erminea (ermine)
Lineage: Eukaryota; Metazoa; Chordata; Mammalia; Carnivora; Mustelidae
Exons: 2
Source: RefSeq, a predicted model, not a curated record